GUGUUUUUAACUUAUGUGGUAAAGUGCUAGACUGUGAAUCUAGAUAACAGGGUUCGAAUCCCGAAAACACC
RNAcentral lists this transfer RNA (71 nucleotides) under Dokdonia pacifica. It matches the Rfam family "tRNA". Rfam says of the family: Transfer RNA (tRNA) molecules are approximately 80 nucleotides in length. Lineage: Bacteria; Pseudomonadati; Bacteroidota; Flavobacteriia; Flavobacteriales; Flavobacteriaceae. The record is from Rfam by way of RNAcentral.